RNAcentral lists this ribosomal RNA (889 nucleotides) under uncultured soil bacterium. RNAcentral describes it as "bacterial SSU rRNA". It matches the Rfam family "Bacterial small subunit ribosomal RNA", at positions 47 to 973 of the family's 1533-position model. The record is from RNAcentral.
CCAUACACUGCAAGUCGAACGAGAAAACCGCAAGGUGAGUAAAGUGGCGUACGGGUGAGUAACACGUGGAUUAUCUGCCCUUUAGUGGGGAAUACCGCCUGGGAAACCGGCGACAAUACCGCAUAAGCUCGAGAGAGGAAAGCAGCAAUGCGCUGAAGGAGGAGUCCGCGGCUGAUUAGCUAGUUGGUAGGGUAAAAGCCUACCAAGGCUGUGAUCGGUAGCCGGCCUGAGAGGGCACACGGCCACACUGGCACUGAAACACGGGCCAGACUCCUACGGGAGGCAGCAGUGGGGAAUCUUGCACAAUGGGGGAAACCCUGAUGCAGCGACGCCGCGUGAGCGAUGAAGCCCUUCGGGGUGUAAAGCUCUUUCGGCAGGGACGAUUAUGACGGUACCUGCAGAAGCAGCUGCGGCUAACUACGUGCCAGCAGCCGCGGUAAUACGUAGGCAGCAAGCGUUGUUCGGAGUUACUGGGCGUAAAGGGUGCGUAGGCGGUCCUGUAAGUAUGGUCUGAAAUCUCCCGGCUUAACUGGGAGGGUGGGCUAUAGACUGCGGGACUAGAGGGUGGGAGAGGAAAGUGGAAUUCCUGGUGUAGCGGUGAAAUGCGUAGAUAUCAGGAGGAACACCGGUGGUGUAAACGGCUUUCUGGACCACUUCUGACGCUGAGGCACGAAAGCGUGGGUAGCAAACAGGAUUAGAUACCCUGGUAGUCCACGCCCUAAAUGAUGCAUAUUUGGUGUGGGCCAUUCAUUUGGUCUGUGCCGGAGCUAACGCGUUAAAUAUGCCGCCUGGGGAGUACAGUCGCAAGGCUGAAACUCAAAGGAAUUGACGGGGGCCCGCACAAGCGGUGGAGCAUGUGGUUUAAUUCGACGCAACGCGAAGAACCUUA